AAGAGGCGGCGUUGGUGGUUAUUUCAAGGGGAGUUUAGUAGUCAUGCUGGAAGAACUAAGAAAGAAAUUAGGUUUACAGAUCUCUCUUUUCCCUCUCCCUUCUUUCUCUCCUAUUUAGUUGAAUGGAGUAUGUAUAUGUUAUGGAGGUGGGUGAGGAAGACUGGGAAAAAGAAACCCACAAAGUAGCAAAGGCAAGCUACAGAUCUCUGAGUUUGAGGCCAACCUGGUCUGUAAUUAUGUUGUUUUGUUUUUUUGUUUUUUUUUUUUUAAGAUUUAUUAUAUGCUAGUACACUGUAGCUGUCUUCAGACAGACCAGAAGAGGGCGUCAGAUCUCAUUACGGAUGGUUGUGAGCCACCAUGUGGUUGCUGGGAUUUGAACUCAGGACCUUCAGAAGAGCAGUCAGUGCUCUUAACUGCUGAGCCAUCUCUCCAGCCCUGUAAUUAUGUUUCUUCCCUCCAUCCCUUCUACUUUCCAAAAGAAAAGAAAAAAAAGAAAAAAAAAUGGGAGCAAAAGAUACAGAUAGCCCAGAGCAGAUUCUUUGUUUUGGUUUUGAGACUGUACUUAUAUAGCCCAAGCUGGUGUUUUUGUUUAAGACAGGGUUUUCCUGGAACUCCAUUUGUAGACCAGAUUAGCCUCAAACCCAGCAAUGUAUCUGUCUCUAUUCUCUGAGUACUGGGAUUAAAGGCAUAUAUAUGCCUACCAUGCAUAGCUCCAUCCUGGUAUUUAUUUAUUUUAUUUUUCAAGACAGGGUUUCUCUGUGUAGCCCUGGCUGUCCUGGAACUCACUUUGUAGACCAGGCUGGCCUUGAACUCAGAAAUCCACCUGCCUCUGCCUCCCAAGUGCUGGGAUUAAAGGCAUGUGCCACCAUGCCCGGCUUCUGGUGUUUACUUUUUGAUUCUACUUCAGCACCCCAAACACAGGGAUUAUACCAUGUAUCACCAUGCCUGCCCAGGAUUUUUCUCUCUGUUCACAUGUAUAUCACAAAUGCGUAUAGUAGUGUCCAGCCUGACUGUUUGUUGUUUGCCUAGAUGAGUGACUGGCAAGAAGUUGGUUGUUUAACUGAGUGACUAGUUGUAAGGAACAUUGUGGACUUUGAUAAUGAGUGUAGAAUCAUCUUGACUGGUCUGGAGGACACAGUUUGAUCUGGAAUGUGGAUGGGACGGGCUAGAUGCUUAGAAGGCAGCUGGUAUGGCUCUCUAAUACAAAUAUGCUGGUCUCCCAAAGAGUAGACCCCAUUUAAUGUGUGCUAUGGUGAUGUAAGAGUAUAAGAUUACUAUUGGGCUAUUACUACUUACUGCUUAAAAACUAUCCCACUGCAUUCUGUGUUGCUUUAUUCAGUUUGCUCCAAGGGCAAUGGGAAUGGACAAUUCUGGGACUCUUGUUGCAAACCCUGCAGAUACCAGUGCUGAUUUUCUUUCAGUUUUCAUUGUCCCACUGCAUUCUGAAGAACUUGAAGUGGCUUUGUCACCCACUUGGAUUGUGACCUUGUGUGAACUCCUAACUUCUGAGUUGUCAUUGUCUUAUCAGUAAGGCAGAUCUUGUGAUGAUCUUUUGUUUGCUUCUGUCAACUGAUGACACUGGCUUUUUCAAGGCCAAGACCACUGAAUUGGUUGAUCCAAGCUGGUGUGGGUAAAGUGAUAUUUGAGGUAUGUUUCAGUAGUGAAGAAAAGCAAUUCAUCUGAAGAACUGCUGGGAAUGCAUUCCGAAAAGUGGGAAUGCCAUUUAGAAAGUAGGCAUAGCCAAAGGAAAGGUCUCAGGUGUGGGCAGUGUACAACAGGUUAGGAGAACACAGGAGUAGAAUACUAUAGAAGUACUCAGUGGCCAAACAGGUCCUGUGUAGGCAUCUCAGGCAUUUAGGUUGUAGUCUAAGUUGUGUGCUAAGCUCUUGACUUUUCAAGCAGGGUGAUGACAAUACCCUGAGUUUGAUUUUGAAGAUCACACUGGGCACUGUUUAGGCAACAGGGCUUUGGAAGGCAGACUAGAAAGAGGCUUAUAAGGCUCUUUGUUUUGUGAGAGUAGACAAGGUGGUUGGGGUACACAAGGUAGAAAUGGACAUGGUAUGGAUGUGUUUAGAAUAUAUACUGGACAAAAACAAACGUGGCUAUGAGGAAAAGGGGAAUUCAGAGUUGUGAGUUUUUUUCUUAGUUUGUUUUUGAGAUAGGGUCUACUAUAUAGACCCAGCUGGCCCUGAACUCAUAGAUUCUAUCUAUCUGCUUCUGCAUCCUAAGUAUUGAGAUUAAAGAUGUACACCACCACAUCUGCUUAAAACUUUAAAAAAAAAAUAUGAAUGAGUGUUUUGUGUGUCUGGUGCUUAUGAGAUCAGAACAUGGCAUUGGAUACUCUAGAGUUGUAGCAGCAGAUAGUUGUUGGAAGUUGAAUCUGUGUCUUCUACAAGAGUAGUAAGUGCCCGCUUUCCAGCCUGUUUGUAUUUUAAGGUAAAGUCUCGGGGCCUGAGAGAUGGCUCAGUGGUUAAGAGCACUGGCUGAUCUUCCAGAGAACCGGAGUUCAAUUCUCAACAUCCACAUGGCACCUCCCAACUGUCUGUAACUCCAAGUGCGUUAGGGAUCUGACAUCCUUACAUAGACAUACAUAAGGCAAAACAUCAAUUUACUUAAAAAUAAAUCUUUAAAACAAAAUAGUCUCAUUCUGUAACUUAUAGACUGGCCUUACAUUCAUCACAGGUUACCUGCCUCACGUGGGAUUUUUAAGUAUAAGCUACCAUGACUAGCUAGGCAUCUGGUGACUGGUGGUGCAUUUACUAAAAAGGAGAAAGCAGCAAAGGAAAUGUGACCUUGAGAGAAUAGAUUAAGAGUUAAGUAGAAGAAAUUUUUUUUUAUGCAAGAAGCUUAAAUAGUAGAUAAAUAAAAAGCAGUUAAUGGGCGUUGUUUGUUUGUUUGGGUGCAAGAAAAGAAACGCAGGACCUGUGUUUGCUGCUCCCCACUCCCAGACCUUUUACUAUAUUUGAUAUAGUACUGAGUAUACAGUAAGCACUUAGUAGAUGCUCAGAUUUUACCUGUCCAGUCAGUAUUGUAGACUUUAUGAUAGCAUGUAGGUGUACUAAGGAGUUGGUGAGAGGUUAGAAGCUUUCAUCUGGAGUUCCUGUGUGGGAAAUGGUACUGAAGCUAGAACCCAAGGGAAGGAGCUGUUAUGGCAAACAAACCCAAAAGUGCAUUUGGGUCAGAAACUCGAGGAAGGUAGAGAGAGCUCAGUGAAAGUGAGUCCAGGGUCUGGAGAGGAGGAAGGUCCAACCUACUUAGAAAGUCUCUAGAAAUGCCUAGAUUUUACCAAGUAUUUUUCUCAUACUCACUAUUUAAAAGUUUUUAAGUUAUAUUUGUGUUUUCGGGGAUGGAUGCCUGAGUGUCAUAGCAUGCAUGUGGAGUUGUGAGUCCCUUGAAUGGAGGUUUUGAGCUUCUUUAUCUGCUGAGCCAUCUUGCUGGCCCUUAUACCUGUGGCCCCCACCCCCCCACC
This 3469-nucleotide long non-coding RNA is filed under the name Mus musculus (house mouse). RNAcentral describes it as "long non-coding RNA chr19:8744052-8747521". Lineage: Eukaryota; Metazoa; Chordata; Mammalia; Rodentia; Muridae. The record is from RNAcentral.